Bombus pascuorum is the source of this 1761-nucleotide long non-coding RNA. RefSeq lists it as uncharacterized. The transcript has 5 exons. Lineage: Eukaryota; Metazoa; Arthropoda; Insecta; Hymenoptera; Apidae. The record is from RefSeq and is a predicted model, not a curated record.
ACCUUGACGUUUAUCGGCGGCGCGGGUGGAGGAGGAUCCACUUUAACGUUGAUAAAUUUUAGAACGUCGUUGUAGUCAAGUUGUUCCUCUUCGUUCUUACGAAUGCUAUAUUAUUAUUGCAACAUCUCCGCUUAUAUACGUACUGAUCAAGCAUAGAAUUUAAAAGUUCCACGUCGACUGGAAUUCUGGCAGCACGGAGCGUAGUAUACAACGUAUCGCGUGGUGGCUGCGGUAUCAUGCUGAAACAGUUGCCGAGGGAAUCUUCGUAGGACCCAAAACCAUUGUAGGGUGGAAUGUAUUUUUCCACUUUCACGCAAAUCUCGCCAACAUUUCGAGGUCUUUCCAUGGGCGUGAAGUCAUCCAGACCGUAUUUCUUCCUUUGAUGCGAUACAAGGAACAUUUUUUUACGUGACACAUUCUUUUCUACGCUUUUUACUAUCGAAGAGGAUGCACCGUUGAACCUUGCUCAAGACCACUAUUGUCCACGGAAGGCUCAGAAAUUUUCAUCGUUCCAUCUUCCAAAAAGAAGCUGAUAUUUACUACGCGUAUUUGUUUUCUAGAUAAAUGAUCGUACUUGGCCAUCAUAGGCAAUCCAAGGAGGCAGUUCUUGAACUUCCCCGCGAGCAUAAAUCGACGGAUAACGAAUCGGAUCGCCUUUAUCAAACUUUUCCGAUAAAUAAUAAACUCCAUCGUGAAUUUUAGUAAAGUGUUGAUUCCUGGCAAAGUUUGUUCGAUCAAGCUAAACAAGAACAUACAUCAAGCGCUUUUUGUAUUAUAUUGUAAUGUAUUACGCGCGUAUGUUCUAUGCUCAUCAAUAAUAUAAAUAUUAUUUCAUGAAAUUCUAUGUCUUAGCCAAUGCAUAUAUUGGUUAAUUAAAUACAAAGUGUCAUGAGACCAUAAAAGAAAAAUGACUUACGUUUUUAUCGAAACUAAACCCUGGUAGACAUGGAAGUACGAGAUCACGCUGCAUUUUACCGCCGACGGAAAUUGGAUUAAUAAAUAUGAUACAUCUGAAGAGUUAGUAGCCGAUUUACGGGGAAACACUUUACGUAUCUGAUAUCGACGUAAGAAUACCCGUUACUGUUAUUUGAUAUUAUUGUGUUUCCUUGGAGAUACUUCGGUUGAUUUCAUCAGGAGAAAAGAAGAACUUCGAGCUACUUGCAGCUUUAAUAUAUAUAUAUAUAUAUAUAUAUUUAUAUUUUAUUAUCAUCAACAAUUUGCAAUAUUACACUGGUAACAUUUUAUACCAGUAUAUGCAGAAACAUAAAUUUAUAUAAUAUAUAGCAAUAUACAAUAUAGCAAAAACUCUGGUAUAAAUAUAAUAACACGUAUAUAUUAUAUAUUAGUUUGAUUCGUAAUAACCUAUGUUAAUGAUGAGUUUUGAACGAUACUGCUGUCUAUAAUUUGUUAUUACUUUUCUUACUUAAGAGCAUGAUGUACGGAUCAUGAUACUAUUUAAUUGGCAACUCGUUAUUCAAAUGAUAUAAAUGCAUCAAUGGUAAAUAAAUCACAAGUAUGUAGUAAAUGAGGUAAUAGAUUUAAUAAGAAGUUAAGCGUAAUAAAAGCAAGAUCGAACAUCCAUUGAUCAAACAUAAUUUAAAACACAUUUAAAGGCAUUAUUAAUAAACCUCUGUGCAAAAAGAUUAAGUCAUGUUUAAUGAAUAACAGAUGUUAUAUUAUGUGUAUAGUCGUAAUAUGCAUAAAGUUACUAUUACACGUAUACUAUGCAGAUGCUAGCAACAAUAAAUUGUUUUACUGGCA